UUUCCGUAGGUGAACCUGCGGAAGGAUCAUUCAUAAUAAGUGUUUUAUGGCACUUUUUUAAAUCCAUAUCCACCUCGUGUGCAAUGUCAGGGUUGAUUUUUCUCUCGAGAGGAUCAACCCCAAACAUCAACUAUAUCUCAACUCUUUGUCUGAAAAAUAUUAUGAAUAAAACAAUUCAAAAUACAACUUUCAACAACGGAUCUCUUGGCUCUC
RNAcentral lists this unclassified non-coding RNA (213 nucleotides) under plant metagenome. Its description in RNAcentral is "partial contains small subunit ribosomal RNA, internal transcribed spacer 1, and 5.8S ribosomal RNA". The record is from RNAcentral.